This is a non-coding RNA of Potamilus streckersoni, 77 nucleotides long. The record is from the annotation of a GenBank genome assembly. NCBI's taxonomy places the organism in Eukaryota, Metazoa, Mollusca, Bivalvia, Unionida, Unionidae.
GACAGUUCCGGUGGCCAAGUGGUUAGAGCGUCCUGUUCGGAUGCGGGAGGUCUCGGGUUCGAACCCCGGCUGAGUCA